This 253-nucleotide ribosomal RNA is filed under the name uncultured bacterium. RNAcentral's name for it is "partial 16S ribosomal RNA". It matches the Rfam family "Bacterial small subunit ribosomal RNA", at positions 524 to 776 of the family's 1533-position model. The record is from RNAcentral.
UACGAAGGGGGCUAGCGUUGCUCGGAAUCUCUGGGCGUAAAGCGCACGUAGGCGGCUUCUUAAGUCAGGGGUGAAAUCCUGGAGCUCAACUCCAGAACUGCCUUUGAUACUGAGGAGCUUGAGUCCGGGAGAGGUGAGUGGAACUGCGAGUGUAGAGGUGAAAUUCGUAGAUAUUCGCAAGAACACCAGUGGCGAAGGCGGCUCACUGGCCCGGUACUGACGCUGAGGUGCGAAAGCGUGGGGAGCAAACAGG